GUGAAUCAUCGAAUCUUUGAACGCACAUUGCGCCCCCUGGUAUUCCGGGGGGCAUGCCUGUUCGAGCGUCAUUU
RNAcentral lists this ribosomal RNA (74 nucleotides) under Cladosporium cladosporioides. RNAcentral's name for it is "partial 5.8S ribosomal RNA". It matches the Rfam family "5.8S ribosomal RNA", at positions 84 to 154 of the family's 154-position model. From Rfam's summary of the family: 5.8S ribosomal RNA (5.8S rRNA) is a component of the large subunit of the eukaryotic ribosome. It is transcribed by RNA polymerase I as part of the 45S precursor that also contains 18S and 28S rRNA. The record is from RNAcentral. Lineage: Eukaryota; Fungi; Ascomycota; Dothideomycetes; Cladosporiales; Cladosporiaceae.